This 304-nucleotide ribosomal RNA is filed under the name uncultured bacterium. Its description in RNAcentral is "partial 16S ribosomal RNA". It matches the Rfam family "Bacterial small subunit ribosomal RNA", at positions 509 to 807 of the family's 1533-position model. The record is from RNAcentral.
CAGCAGUCGCCGCGGGAAUACGGAGGGUGCAAGCGUUAUCCGGAUUUAUUGGGUUUAAAGGGUCCGUAGGCGGACUUAUAAGUCAGUGGUGAAAGCCUGUCGCUUAACGAUAGAACUGCCAUUGAUACUGUAAGUCUUGAGUAUAUUUGAGGUAGCUGGAAUAAGUAGUGUAGCGGUGAAAUGCAUAGAUAUUACUUAGAACACCAAUUGCGAAGGCAGGUUACCAAGAUAUAACUGACGCUGAGGGACGAAAGCGUGGGUAGCGAACAGGAUUAGAUACCCCCGUAGUCCCUGUCUCUUAUAC